UCAGUAACACGUAGUCAACAUGCCAGAGGACGUGAUAACCUCGGGAAACUGAGGAUAAACCGCGAUAGGUCACUACUUCUGGAAUGGGUAAUGACCCAAACCUAUAUGGCCCCUGGAUUGGACUGCGGCCGAUCAGGCUGUUGGUGAGGUAAUGGCCCACCAAACCUGUAACCGGUACGGGCUCUGAGAGGAGGAGCCCGGAGAUGGGCACUGAGACAAGGGCCCAGGCCCUAUGGGGCGCAGCAGGCGCGAAAACCUCUGCAAUAGGCGAAAGCUUGACAGGGUUACUCUGAGUGAUUUCCGUUAAGGAGAUCUUAUGGCACCUCUAAAAAUGGUGCAGAAUAAGGGGUGGGCACGUCUGGUGCCA
This 367-nucleotide ribosomal RNA is filed under the name unidentified archaeon. RNAcentral's name for it is "bacterial SSU rRNA". It matches the Rfam family "Archaeal small subunit ribosomal RNA", at positions 90 to 460 of the family's 1478-position model. The record is from RNAcentral.